Molecule: ribosomal RNA, 460 nt
Filed under: uncultured bacterium
Lineage: Bacteria
Description: partial 16S ribosomal RNA
Rfam family: Bacterial small subunit ribosomal RNA
Source: RNAcentral
CCUACGGGUGGCAGCAGUGAGGAAUAUUGGUCAAUGGACGAGAGUCUGAACCAGCCAAGUAGCGUGAAGGAUGACUGCCCUAUGGGUUGUAAACUUCUUUUAUAUGGGAAUAAAAUGUUCCACGUGUGGGAUUUUGUAUGUACCAUAUGAAUAAGGAUCGGCUAACUCCGUGCCAGCAGCCGCGGUAAUACGGAGGAUCCGAGCGUUAUCCGGAUUUAUUGGGUUUAAAGGGAGCGUAGGUGGAUCGUUAAGUCAGUUGUGAAAGUUUGCGGCUCAACCGUAAAAUUGCAGUUGAAACUGGCAGUCUUGAGUACAGUAGAGGUGGGCGGAAUUCGUGGUGUAGCGGUGAAAUGCUUAGAUAUCACGAAGAACUCCGAUUGCGAAGGCAGUUCACUGGACUGCAACUGACACUGAGGCUCGAAAGUGUGGGUAUCAAACAGGAUUAGAUACCCUAGUAGUC